AUGAUUGUUCCGUUGGUGCCCCACCAAUACCCCCUUUUUCCUGCACAGACCUGUCACAGUAUCUGUAUAAUUGUGUUAUGCUUAUUUACCUGUAGGCUUUUUUUCAACCGACAGGACUGAUUGAGAUGUAUCCGUGUAUAAUAGCACCAAGUAUAGUGUGGGUGCACAGUGAAUGAUAGUUAUUAUUAUUAUUCUUAAAGACUUUUAUUUUUAGGUAAUCUCUAUGCCCAACGUGGGGCUCAAACUCACAACCGUGAGAUCAAGAGUCGCAUGCUCCACUGACUGAGCCAGCCAGGUGCCCCUAUUUUUAUUAACAUCUGUCACUAACACUUUUUACUUCAUGUUUUUAAGUUCUGUUGUUAGGUACAUUUAUGUUUUUGGACUGUUGUAGUUUCUGAUGAAUUGACCCUUUUAUUGUUGAAGCCAAAGAAACAAGCUUUUCAACUUGAGGUGAGUGGUGGUGAAGAUAAUGGCAGCAAACACUUGAGGGCUCUCACAUAGAUGAGGCAUUGGGGGGCACUACUGAGACCCCUGAAUAGAGGUCACAGAGAAGCAGACUGGGAUUGUUCAAGAAAGGAACCUUUUUACAGAGCCCAAACGUGGGCUGCUUCAGAUAGUAGUGAGAUUCCUAUCUUUGGAUAUGAUAAAUUACACUGGACAACAAACCAACUGAUCAGCAGUGUUGCAGAAGGGAUGCAAACAUCAUACACAGACAGAUCUUUGAGGUUUCCUCACAGUUUGGCAGUAUGUGAUUCUGCGAUUCCAUUCCCAAAGAAGAGUUUCAAAUUUGUGUUAGCAAGAGAACACUGUUAAAAUAGUGACAGCAACCACCUAUGGAGUACCAGUCAGAGGCACAGAACUUGUUAUUUCUGAUCCUACAACAAUCUGGAGGUGUUUAAAUGCUACAUUAACAAUUGUGCAUAAUAGGAAAGUGGCUUGGAGAGGUUAAGAGAUUUGUUCAAAUCAUACAGAUCCAAGUCUCUCAAGCUCAUACUCUUUCCACUCCCUGCUCCUAAGUAUAGUUUCUGCUAAGCUGCCCAUGUGUUUCAGUCUGAAACCAUACUAUACUUGUCUGCACAGCACCUCUGUACCUAAAGGUAAGAGGACCUCUACAGGUAAAUAAUGGGUGGCAAGAAACAGGGGAAUGUCAUUAAAACUUUUCCAUGGCUUCUUAGUGCCCUCAGGGUCAAGUUUUUAACUUGACCUUAAGGCCCUCCACCUUUCCAGUUCUAGCCAUUUCUUCUGUUUCUCCCUCCAACCACACUAAAUGAGCUGCUUAAACCUGCCAAAUCCUUUCCUGCCUCAGGACCUUUGCAAAUGCUAUCGAUACCCUUUCUGGGAACUUACUUCCUCAAUAUCUUCAUCUCACUAAUUCCUGCCUAACUUCACAUCCCUCUCCCCUACUCAGUCCCAGGGUACUGGACUCAGUCACUCUCUCCUAUAGCAUCCUGUGCUGGAGGGCCAACGGGGUAUAAUCAAUGACAACUGUGUUUUCCCUACUUGAGAGCUCAAAAUGAGGGGGGAAAAAGGCAAAUGGAGACUCAUGAUAAAAGCUACAUUGUAGCUUAGUGGGAGAGUAAAAUAGGUCAACUUCCUGCCCACCCCACUAUCCCCACCACCCACUGAAUCUAGGCUUUGCCUAUCCCAUUAGUCUGUGAGCUCCAUGAGGCCAGGGACCAGGAAUGCUUUGCCAAACACUGUGUAUGUUUCCAAUGCCUUGCUUAAUCUCUGAUACAGUGCUCGAUACAUAUUUAUUGGUGAAAGAAUGUUAAAUGUUAUAUACAAGUCUCCCUCAAAUGUGAGGAGAUGAGGGCUACUCAGGAGAUGUGGAGUUAGGAGGGGACUGGGUAGGAGUUGAAAGUUUUGUUACAACAGAAGCCCUAGAGCAAGGGAAGCUUAGGUGCCUAAGAACUCAGGAGUUUGUUUCUUCAUAUCCAUGAAGAUCACUGUAUAUAAGGCAAACUGGAAUAUGAUUUAAACCAAUCCUGAUUAUAAAUGCUAGAUAACUAAUAAAAUAAAAAGAACUGAAAAUCUGCUUUGGCAGCAAACCAUUCCCACUAAUUGCAGUCAUUCACAAGAACUUACUAAUUAAGCUUAAUUAGCUUGUAGCACAAUUAUGUCUAUCAUUAAAUAUAUGGCAAAUGAGACAAUGUGGGAAAGUGUUAUAUAAACUGUAAAGCACCUUACAAAUAUGACUGCUAUAAUGUGUCAAAUUAGCACUGCAGUGAGUUUUGAUUAUAACUAUAAAGUCCACUUACUUUAUAUCUUUGUAGACUUAUUCAAGCCUAUGGGCAUAUGCUUAUGACUUUUAAGCCAUUAUCAAAAAAUUUGUUUCUAAAGAUGAUUCUUGAGAAGUUUCACUCAGUUCUGGUAUGUUAAUGAAAAAUUAGUCUUACCUCUUGAUCACUGUGUUAUUUAACCUUUAUUACACAUAACGUGUGUGCUUUCUCAUUCCAUCUUCUGAAUAUCCCCUCUAACUAGAAAGCUCUACUUUCUGCCAGUUAUGUUACUUAAAAAAAUAAAAA
Molecule: long non-coding RNA, 2525 nt
Filed under: Canis lupus familiaris (dog)
Lineage: Eukaryota; Metazoa; Chordata; Mammalia; Carnivora; Canidae
Description: lncRNA (ENSCAFG00000055325.1, ENSCAFG00845008968.1)
Source: RNAcentral